GUCUUAUUGAUAAUAAUUUUAAGUCAAUCCGCCCAAUGAUUUUAUUAAAUGGCUGCAGUAUAAUUAACUGUACAAAGGUAGCAUAAUCAAUUGAUUUUUAAAUGAAAUCUAGAAUGAAAGGAUUAAUGAAAUAUAUACUGUCUCAAAUAUAUAAUAUAAAUUUAAAUUUUUAAUAAAAAUGUUAAAAUUUUUUUAUGGGACGAUAAGACCCUAUAGAAUUUUAUAUAAAUUUAUUAUUAUAAUUAAUAUAAUAAUUAAAUUUAUAUUUAAUUGGGAGGAUUAUUAAAUUUAGUAAACUUUAAUUUUUAUAAACUUAAAUUAAAGAAAAAUUUAUGAUCUUUAAUUUAAAAUUAAUAGAAUAAAUUACCUUAGGGAUAACAGCGUUAUAUUUUUUUAUAGAUCAUAUAGAAAAAAAUGAUUGCGACCUCGAUGUUGAAUUAAGAUAAAUUUUUAAUGUAGAAGUUAAAUAAUUAAGUCUGUUCGACUUUUAAAAUCUUACAUGAUUUGAGUUCAAAUCGACGUAAGU
Molecule: ribosomal RNA, 526 nt
Filed under: Trigonisca browni
Lineage: Eukaryota; Metazoa; Arthropoda; Insecta; Hymenoptera; Apidae
Description: partial 16S large subunit ribosomal RNA
Rfam family: Bacterial large subunit ribosomal RNA (bases 374-526)
Source: RNAcentral